CAGCGAUAGAAGCGGCAUCCUUUUGCGUCGUUCCGUUCCGAAGGAUCGGGACGACGCAAAAGAUACAGCGGAUAGCGCGGCCGUUC
This 86-nucleotide small RNA is filed under the name Flavobacterium caeni. RNAcentral's name for it is "Flavo-1 RNA". It matches the Rfam family "Flavo-1 RNA". The record is from RNAcentral. Lineage: Bacteria; Pseudomonadati; Bacteroidota; Flavobacteriia; Flavobacteriales; Flavobacteriaceae.